GCCUGGCUGGCUCAGUCGGUGGAGCAUGUGACUCUUGAUCUCAGGGUGAUGAGUUCGAGCCCCUUGCUGGGUG
Molecule: transfer RNA, 73 nt
Filed under: Ailuropoda melanoleuca (giant panda)
Lineage: Eukaryota; Metazoa; Chordata; Mammalia; Carnivora; Ursidae
Rfam family: tRNA
About the family: Transfer RNA (tRNA) molecules are approximately 80 nucleotides in length. Their secondary structure includes four short double-helical elements and three loops (D, anti-codon, and T loops). Further hydrogen bonds mediate the characteristic L-shaped molecular structure. tRNAs have two regions of fundamental functional importance: the anti-codon, which is responsible for specific mRNA codon recognition, and the 3' end, to which the tRNAs corresponding amino acid is attached (by aminoacyl-tRNA synthetases). tRNAs cope with the degeneracy of the genetic code in two manners: having more than one tRNA (with a specific anti-codon) for a particular amino acid; and 'wobble' base-pairing, i.e. permitting non-standard base-pairing at the 3rd anti-codon position.
Source: Rfam by way of RNAcentral